AUACGUAGGGAGCGAGCGUUGUCCGGAAUUACUGGGUGUAAAGGGAGCGUAGGCGGGAGUGCAAGUCAGAUGUGAAAUACAUGGGCUCAACCCAUGGGCUGCAUUUGAAACUGCAUUUCUUGAGUGCAGUAGAGGUAAGCGGAAUUCCUGGUGUAGCGGUGAAAUGCGUAGAUAUCAGGAGGAACACCGGUGGCGAAGGCGGCUUACUGGGCUUUUACUGACGCUGAGGCUCGAAAGCGGGGGGAGCAAACAGGAUUAGAUACCCUGGUAGUCCACGCUGUAAACGAUGAUUACUAUGUGUGGGGGGACUGACCCCUUCCGUGCCGCAGUUAACACAAUAAGUAAUCCGCCUGGGGAGUACGGCCGCAAGGUUGAAACUCAAAUGAAUUGACGGGG
RNAcentral lists this ribosomal RNA (396 nucleotides) under uncultured bacterium. RNAcentral describes it as "partial 16S ribosomal RNA". It matches the Rfam family "Bacterial small subunit ribosomal RNA", at positions 523 to 918 of the family's 1533-position model. The record is from RNAcentral.